Molecule: ribosomal RNA, 820 nt
Filed under: Bacillus cereus
Lineage: Bacteria; Bacillati; Bacillota; Bacilli; Caryophanales; Bacillaceae
Description: bacterial SSU rRNA
Rfam family: Bacterial small subunit ribosomal RNA
Source: RNAcentral
GGGCAGGGCGGGGCUACAAUGCAGUCGAGCGAUGGAUUAAGAGCUUGCUCUUAUGAAGUUAGCGGCGGACGGGUGAGUAACACGUGGGUAACCUGCCCAUAAGACUGGGAUAACUCCGGGAAACCGGGGCUAAUACCGGAUAACAUUUUGAACCGCAUGGUUCGAAAUUGAAAGGCGGCUUCGGCUGUCACUUAUGGAUGGACCCGCGUCGCAUUAGCUAGUUGGUGAGGUAACGGCUCACCAAGGCAACGAUGCGUAGCCGACCUGAGAGGGUGAUCGGCCACACUGGGACUGAGACACGGCCCAGACUCCUACGGGAGGCAGCAGUAGGGAAUCUUCCGCAAUGGACGAAAGUCUGACGGAGCAACGCCGCGUGAGUGAUGAAGGCUUUCGGGUCGUAAAACUCUGUUGUUAGGGAAGAACAAGUGCUAGUUGAAUAAGCUGGCACCUUGACGGUACCUAACCAGAAAGCCACGGCUAACUACGUGCCAGCAGCCGCGGUAAUACGUAGGUGGCAAGCGUUAUCCGGAAUUAUUGGGCGUAAAGCGCGCGCAGGUGGUUUCUUAAGUCUGAUGUGAAAGCCCACGGCUCACCCGUGGAGGGUCAUUGGAAACUGGGAGACUUGAGUGCAGAAGAGGAAAGUGGAAUUCCAUGUGUAGCGGUGAAAUGCGUAGAGAUAUGGAGGAACACCAGUGGCCAAGGCGACUUUCUGGUCUGUAACUGACACUGAGGCGCGAAAGCGUGGGGAGCAAACACGAUUAGAUACCCUGGUAGUCCACGCCGUAAACGAUGAGUGCUACGUGUUAGAGGGUUUCUGCCG